Molecule: non-coding RNA, 414 nt
Organism: Catharus ustulatus (Swainson's thrush)
Lineage: Eukaryota; Metazoa; Chordata; Aves; Passeriformes; Turdidae
Source: the annotation of a RefSeq genome assembly
CCCGCAGGGCUCCGGGCGGCCGUGACCCUGCUGGAGUGCGGGGGGGACCUCCAGCCCCCCGGGGGGUCCCUGACUCUGCUCUGCCGCGCCUCCGGGUUCAAUUUUGGGAGUUACAACAUGAUGUGGAUCCGCCAGAGCCACGGGAAGGCUCUGGAAUGGGUUGCAGAGAUCUACAGCAACAGUGGUUACACUGACUAUGCACCGUCAGUCAAGGGUCGGUUCAGGAUCUCCAGGGACAACGGGCAGAGCUCGGUGACGCUGACCAUGAACAGCCUCAAGGACGAGGAUUCCGCCGUUUAUUUCUGUGCCAAGGCUGCUACUACUGGUACUACUCUUGCUGGUUCUUUUCAGGUGUGGGAGGAUGCGUCUGAGACGAGCACCGCUGGGAAACAGAUUGUAGCACAUCCCAGCUGA